CCGAGGAAAGGUCGAUUUUUGGGGGGUUUUGGGGGGGCGGGGGGUCGAGCGUACAGGGGAUUCUUGGGGACUUUUUGCUGGGAGUUCCUGACACCCCAAUGAACAACUUGGGCACAUAAAACCUUAGAUAUAAAUUUUUUUUUCUAUUUUUCCUAUAAUGCCUGGACUAAUUCUUUUCUUGCAUUGCCAGUUUUUGCUGCGGUAAAAAUUCCUCUAAAAAGGCAAAAAUGUCCUACUUUUUCUUUGCAUUUAUAAAAAUGAUGUAUUAAACUGAACUUUCAAGACGGACAGUCCAACAAGCCUUUAAGAAUAAUGAACAAACAUUGAGAAAAUUUUAGAGCAAACCGAUGAGAAAAACGUGGACAGCCCUAACAGAUAGGCGCAUGAAAAUGUAAAAUCUUGGAAAAUACCACACCCCUGGAUCUUUUGUUAUCGAGGUGCCUUUACAAUGCUUGAAGUGUAAUUUUUUAUUGAUAGAAUAAUUUUUCAUGGAUAGAAUAAUUUAAUCAAUAAUAAAGUUUGUAUGAAAUUAUGUCCUAUGUCUCUUGUCAAUAAUGUUUUUACUUUAUUUUUAGUUUCAAUGAUUGAAAGCGGCGGUGGUCUUAGCAACACAAGUGCCAUGAUUAGUAGUAUAACUCCAGAUCCCAGCUCUGCAGAAGCAGUUUCUGAUAAGUUUCCAGAUGAAGUCAUGAAAAUUGAAAUUUUGGAAUUUAACUCGAACAACUACAACAAAUCCCUUAUGCAGACUGGCACGCAAACUUCACCAGACAAGAACUUCCAAAAUUGCUUCAAUUUUGGAACGGUUCCAGAGAAAGAGGAGCCACCAAGAAGAACACGCAAAGAACGGACACAUUCUCACAAGCGCUCGGCCUCACCACCACAGCGACAAGCCGUUCCUCCAACCCCUGUGAAUGCACCUGCCCACAGUUGUAAAACAAAAGAGUCCAGGUAAAGUUGGAUUUUUUGUGUUGAAUACUGACGUGUCUACACUACUUACAAAAACAUCAAACAUCAACAAAAUGGUUUAUAAUUUUGAUGAAAACAAGCAUGCCAUUUUUUAAGUAAUAACAUGUCAUGGUGUAAUAUUUCCAAAUUAUGGUGCAGCAGAAUCAAAAGGAAUUCUACACUUGCUUUAACUUGUUUUAUGCAAUGAUUAUGAUUUCUUGUUUCUUCUUUCAGUGCAUCAGUGAAAGAGGCGUUGAGUCCGUCUGUUGCUGAGAGUAUUCGUGCUGUGUUUGCUGCGUUGUUGUGGCAUGAAGGCAUUGUUCAUGAUGCUAUGGCAUGUGCAUCUUUCUUGAAGUUUUAUCCAACACUUUCAAAACAGGGUGUAACUGUCACUCCAAGACAUAUUAAGAGGUAUGUUUGCUCUUAAAAAUUAAUAUAUCAUAGCUGUAAUUGAUACUGUAUCAUAUCAACCCAUUUUAGCAGUACCUAUUUAAUACUUC
This 1445-nucleotide long non-coding RNA is filed under the name Bemisia tabaci. RNAcentral's name for it is "lncRNA ENSSSA3NGG014480". Lineage: Eukaryota; Metazoa; Arthropoda; Insecta; Hemiptera; Aleyrodidae. The record is from RNAcentral.